GAGCACUUCUCACCCCCAGGUUCCUCUACGACUUCUACCACUACUUCUUCAUGCUGACCAACGCACUCUUCUAUGUCAGCUCCACCGUCAACCCUAUCCUCUACAACCUGGUCUCCGCCAACUUCCGUGAGAUCUUCCUGUCCACCCUGGCCUGCCUCUGUCCCACAUGGCGGCGCGGGAGGAAGGGGCCAACCUUCUCCAGGAAGCCCAACAGUGUGUCCAGCAACCACGCCUACUCCAGCAGCGCCACCCGGGAGACGCUGUACUAGGGUCCAGCGGGAGCUUCGAGGCCUAAGGAGGCUGGGAGCAGGCGGCAGCCCCACCCAGGGCCUCCAGGGCCCGGCCAGCGGCCAGCUCACCUGGGCCUGGGCCCAGCACCCUCACCACAGAGGCUUCUUUCCCCAACCCCAUCCCCGCUUCUUCAUCCCCUGCCUUUAAAAGCCAGAUGGAGACUUUGUUCACCUCCCAGAUCCAAAAUCAGCCUUUCACAGGACAGCCAGUGCUCAGUGGGGGGGCAGCUUCUUUGUCUCCAGGUUAAUGGAUGGCCAGAAAGGACAUGAAAGGAGCCCCCGGGCCCGGCCUGGGCAGCUGGGCUGUGUCUCCCCAGGGCGCUUCAGUGCACGCACUAGGUCUCACCACAGGACCCCAGCCACCGCCCACCCCAGGGGUGAACUGCCAGGAGAGGUCACCCAGCCCGGCAUGGGCUCCAUCCUGGCCUCCCUCUGCCUCUGGUUCAGGGUGAGUCCAUUUCAAGGUCCAGUAAGUGCCACAUCCUGGGCCUCACACCCAGACCCUUCCGUGGGGUCAGACCAGCCCCUGAUACUCUUCUUCAGGCCUGAGGACCAUGCUGGGUGUGAGGGGACCCCUCCUACUUGCCCUCACCCUGGUGACCACAGAAGAAGCUCAGGCUCCAACUGAUACGUCCAUAAAGAGCCAGCCUGGACUCUCCAGCCCAGGGCCUCCCCUCCUGCUGGCCUGACCUUUCCCUGGGGGCCCUGCAGGGACAUCCUGCAGGAGGGGCCGAGACCCCACAGGUGCAGAGGGAAUUGCAGAUCGGGGUGUCUGCCUCCCCCCCAGGUGUCCUGGUCAUUCAGCACACUCGGAGCCUCGAGUCUCGGACAAACCCGAGCAGGCUGAGGACCGGCAGGCAGCAGCCUGGGAUGGCUUUGGGGGCAGGGGGUGGCCUAAGCAGUGGGAAGGCAUAGGCCAGGGCUGCUGGGACCAUGUCCUGUGUAAGGUGCCAGGUGCCCAGGGCUGGCCGCAGGUCAGGAGCCUGCUCCAGGCACCCUGCUGGCCAGCAGCCCGAGGCUGAGACACGGUUCAUUUGUCACCAGCCGCCAGGCAGCAGCCCUGGCCCCAGGCUCCGGCGCCUGGAAGAGCCUGCCAGCGGGCGCCUCCCUGGUCCCUAGGAGCUGUCUCCAAACAGGACAGAACCUGCCCAGGCCCCCUGCCGAGAAGGUUCCUGAGCCCUGAGACAGAUCCCAGGAUGAGCUGCCUGGACCAGCAGGUGCAAAGUGCCAGGAAGCAAGACGGAGCCCGUUUAAAAGUAGCUUCUGCCGUCUUGGGUCCCCUUGCCCAGGAGGGGAACAGGUGGAUGGGCAGACAGGCUGCAAAGCAGCACUGUCUUGGGACACAGGGAUCCCGCUGUGGCCACCCGGCUCAGGCCACUCUGCUAUCAACUGGAGUGCUCUUUGGACCCCACGGAAUCCCGCUGUAAGCCCCAUGACCUUUCAGGUCACCAAGGGCAGGCCUAGGCAAGUCAGGCCCAUCUGCUCCUUCACCCCAGUGCCCACCACAGGGUCUGCCCUGCCCGCUCUGGGGUUCUGAGGGCAGGGCAGCACCACCCUAGGCAGUGGUGGGUGAGGCUGGGCGCUGGCACCAGACAUCUGAGCACACUCACACAGUCCACCCAGAGACCCCUCCCGGACUGCAGAUGUUGGCAUGACUCCUCUGAGCCUCAGACUCCCGUCCAGGAGCAGACCUGACCAUCCCACCUCAGACUGCUGGGACUGUCCUGGAGACAGGAGGGACACACCCUGAGAUAAGGCCCAGUCCACCAGAGCACUGGAGGCGGGUCUGCGUGGAGGGUCUGGGCUGUGACCAGUGUCUGGCCAGGUCAUCAUCUCAGUCCUGAGUGCUGAACGUGGGUGGGCACGUGUCCAUGCAGUGCCACACACGCCCGUGACACUGAUGGGAUCCCAGCCCUGAGUGCUGUGGGCAUGUCUCCCACAGAGACCAGAGUCCCAUGAGCCCAGUAUUGAUGGCAAAACCCACUGUGUAACUCCAGUGUCCCUCGGAAUGUCCCCACCCCACCACUCUGCAGUUGAAGAAGCCCCCAUAUCUCAAUAAAGGACCCUGUGGACCCCAAGUUG
RNAcentral lists this long non-coding RNA (2372 nucleotides) under Marmota monax (woodchuck). Lineage: Eukaryota; Metazoa; Chordata; Mammalia; Rodentia; Sciuridae. The record is from RNAcentral.